This 253-nucleotide ribosomal RNA is filed under the name uncultured bacterium. RNAcentral's name for it is "partial 16S ribosomal RNA". It matches the Rfam family "Bacterial small subunit ribosomal RNA", at positions 524 to 776 of the family's 1533-position model. The record is from RNAcentral.
UACAGAGGUCUCAACCGUUGUUCGGAUUCAUUGGGCGUAAAGGGUGCGUAGGCGGCGGGGUAAGUCAGGUGUGAAAUCUCGGGGCUCAACCCCGAAACUGCACUUGAUACUGCCUCGCUUGAGUACUGGAGAGGAGACUGGAAUUUACGGUGUAGCAGUGAAAUGCGUAGAUAUCGUAAGGAAGACCAGUGGCGAAGGCGGGUCUCUGGACAGUUCCUGACGCUGAGGCGCGAAGGCCAGGGGAGCAAACGGG